GAUGAACGCUGGCGGCGUGCCUAAUACAUGCAAGUCGAGCGAACAGAUGAGUAGCUUGCUCCUCUGACGUUAGCGGCGGACGGGUGAGUAACACGUGGAUAACCUACCUAUAAGACUGUGAUAACUUCGGGAAACCGGAGCUACUACCGGAUAAUAUAUUGAACCGCAUGGUUCAAUAGUGUAAGACGGUUUUGCUGUCACUUAUAGAUGGAUCCGCGCCGCAUUAGCUAGUUGGUAAGGUAACGGCUUACCAAGGCAACGAUGCGUAGCCGACCUGAGAGGGUGAUCGGCCACACUGGAACUGAGGCACGGUCCAGACGCCUACGAGAGGCAGCAGUAGGGAAUCUUCCGCAAUGGGCGGAAGCAUGACGGAGCAACGACGCGUGAGUGAUGAAGGUCUUCGGAUCGUAAAACUCUGUUAUUAGGGAAGAACAAAUGUGUAAGUAACUAUGCACGUCUUGACGGUACCUAAUCAGAAAGCCACGGCUAACUACGUG
This 497-nucleotide ribosomal RNA is filed under the name uncultured bacterium. RNAcentral's name for it is "partial 16S ribosomal RNA". It matches the Rfam family "Bacterial small subunit ribosomal RNA", at positions 28 to 507 of the family's 1533-position model. The record is from RNAcentral.